UGCUCCAUGGGAGGAUCGAACACCUAACCUCGGCAUUUCUUAUUCUUAUAAGUAACACGCGCUAACCAGUUGAACCAAUGGAGC
Oesophagostomum dentatum (nodular worm) is the source of this 84-nucleotide non-coding RNA. The record is from the annotation of a GenBank genome assembly. NCBI's taxonomy places the organism in Eukaryota, Metazoa, Nematoda, Chromadorea, Rhabditida, Strongylidae.